CCUACGGGGGGCUGCAGUAACGAAUCUUCCGCAAUGCACGAAAGUGUGACGGAGCGACGCCGCGUGUGGGACGAAGUCCUUCGGGAUGUAAACCACUGUCAGGGGAAAGAAAGUUCUGAUCUACCCCAGAGGAAGAGGCGGCUAACUCUGUGCCAGCAGCCGCGGUAAUACAGAGGCCUCAAGCGUUAGGCGGAAUCACUGGGCUUAAAGCGUGUGUAGGCGGACUUCUAAGUACCUUGUGAAAUCCCACGGCUUAACUGUGGAACUGCUUGGUAUACUGGUUGUCUUGAGCCACUCAGGGGCGAGCGGAACAAAUGGUGGAGCGGUGAAAUGCGUAGAUAUCAUUUGGAACGCCGAUGGUGAAAACAGCUCGCUGGGGGUGUGCUGACGCUGAGACACGAAAGCCAGGGGAGCGAACGGGAUUAGAUACCCGUGUAGUC
Molecule: ribosomal RNA, 440 nt
Filed under: uncultured bacterium
Lineage: Bacteria
Description: bacterial SSU rRNA
Rfam family: Bacterial small subunit ribosomal RNA
Source: RNAcentral